This 94-nucleotide non-coding RNA is filed under the name Desulfosarcina cetonica. Its description in RNAcentral is "c-di-GMP-I". It matches the Rfam family "c-di-GMP-I riboswitch aptamer". Rfam says of the family: GEMM was predicted in a large-scale screen for bacterial structured RNA regulatory elements. Genes associated with GEMM are involved in a diverse array of functions, including chemotaxis regulation, signal transduction, secretion and chitin. The record is from RNAcentral. Lineage: Bacteria; Pseudomonadati; Thermodesulfobacteriota; Desulfobacteria; Desulfobacterales; Desulfosarcinaceae.
ACUCGACAAAGGCAAACCACGCGAAAGCGUGGGACGCAAAGCCACUGACCUAACGCUUCUGAUGGUAGGACGCCAAGGCAGCAGGGCUGCCGAA